CCCUUAGAGUUUGAUCAUGGCUCAGAUUGAACGCUGGCGGAAUGCUUUACACAUGCAAGUCGAACGAUGAACCUUAGCUUGCUAGGGGGAUUAGUGGCGGACGGGUGAGUAAUAUAUCGGAACGUGUCCAUUAAUGGGGGAUAACUAAUCGAAAGGUUGGCUAAUACCGCAUACGCCCUGAGGGGGAAAGCUGGGGAUCUUCGGACCUGGCGUUAAUGGAGCGGCCGAUACCUGAUUAGCUAGUUGGUAGGGUAAUGGCCUACCAAGGCAACGAUCAGUAGCUGGUCUGAGAGGACGACCAGCCACACUGGGACUGAGACACGGCCCAGACUCCUACGGGAGGCAGCAGUGGGGAAUUUUGGACAAUGGGGGAAACCCUGAUCCAGCCAUUCCGCGUGAGUGAAGAAGGCCUUCGGGUUGUAAAGCUCUUUCGCAAGGGAAGAAAAGAUAUAGGUGAAUAGCUUAUGUUGAUGACGGUACCUUGACAAGAAGCACCGGCUAACUACGUGCCAGCAGCCGCGGUAAUACGUAGGGUGCAAGCGUUAAUCGGAAUUACUGGGCGUAAAGCGUGCGCAGGCUGUUUUGUAAGUCAGAUGUGAAAUCCCCGAGCUCAACUUGGGAACUGCGUUUGAAACUACAAGACUAGAAUAGGUCAGAGGGGGGUAGAAUUCCACGUGUAGCAGUGAAAUG
This 690-nucleotide ribosomal RNA is filed under the name uncultured bacterium. Its description in RNAcentral is "bacterial SSU rRNA". It matches the Rfam family "Bacterial small subunit ribosomal RNA", at positions 1 to 688 of the family's 1533-position model. The record is from RNAcentral.